CUGGCUCAGGAUGAACGCUGGCGGCGUGCCUAAUACAUGCAAGUCGAGCGAAUGGAUUAAGAGCUUGCUCUUAUGAAGUUAGCGGCGGACGGGUGAGUAACACGUGGGUAACCUGCCCAUAAGACUGGGAUAACUCCGGGAAACCGGGGCUAAUACCGGAUAACAUUUUGAACYGCAUGGUUCGAAAUUGAAAGGCGGCUUCGGCUGUCACUUAUGGAUGGACCCGCGUCGCAUUAGCUAGUUGGUGAGGUAACGGCUCACCAAGGCAACGAUGCGUAGCCGACCUGAGAGGGUGAUCGGCCACACUGGGACUGAGACACGGCCCAGACUCCUACGGGAGGCAGCAGUAGGGAAUCUUCCGCAAUGGACGAAAGUCUGACGGAGCAACGCCGCGUGAGUGAUGAAGGCUUUCGGGUCGUAAAACUCUGUUGUUAGGGAAGAACAAGUGCUAGUUGAAUAAGCUGGCACCUGA
RNAcentral lists this ribosomal RNA (472 nucleotides) under Bacillus sp. R-46238. RNAcentral's name for it is "bacterial SSU rRNA". It matches the Rfam family "Bacterial small subunit ribosomal RNA", at positions 19 to 482 of the family's 1533-position model. Lineage: Bacteria; Bacillati; Bacillota; Bacilli; Caryophanales; Bacillaceae. The record is from RNAcentral.